UCGAGCGGUAGAGAGAAGCUUGCUUCUCUUGAGAGCGGCGGACGGGUGAGUUAUGCCUAGGAAUCUGCCUGGUAGUGGGGGAUAACGUUCGGAAACGGACGCUAAUACCGCAUACGUCCUACGGGAGAAAGCAGGGGACCUUCGGGCCUUGCGCUAUCAGAUGAGCCUAGGUCGGAUUAGCUAGUUGGCGGGGUAAAGGCCCACCAAGGCGACGAUCCGUAGCUGGUCUGAGAGGAUGAUCAGCCACACUGGAACUGAGACACGGUCCAGACUCCUACGGGAGGCAGCAGUGGGGAAUAUUGGACAAUGGGCGCAAGCCUGAUCCAGCCAUACCGCGUGGGUGAAGAAGGCCUUCGGGUUGUAAAGCCCUUUUGUUGGGAAAGAAAUCCAGCUGGUUAAUACCCGGUUGGGAUGACGGUACCCAAAGAAUAAGCACCGGCUAACUUCGUGCCAGCAGCCGCGGUAAU
This 467-nucleotide ribosomal RNA is filed under the name uncultured bacterium. RNAcentral describes it as "bacterial SSU rRNA". It matches the Rfam family "Bacterial small subunit ribosomal RNA", at positions 62 to 524 of the family's 1533-position model. The record is from RNAcentral.